RNAcentral lists this ribosomal RNA (253 nucleotides) under uncultured bacterium. RNAcentral describes it as "partial 16S ribosomal RNA". It matches the Rfam family "Bacterial small subunit ribosomal RNA", at positions 524 to 776 of the family's 1533-position model. The record is from RNAcentral.
UACGUAGGGUGCAAGCGUUAAUCGGAAUUACUGGGCGUAAAGCGUGCGCAGGCGGUUAUAUAAGACAGAUGUGAAAUCCCCGGGCUCAACCUGGGAACUGCAUUUGUGACUGUAUAGCUAGAGUACGGUAGAGGGGGAUGGAAUUCCGCGUGUAGCAGUGAAAUGCGUAGAUAUGCGGAGGAACACCGAUGGCGAAGGCAAUCCCCUGGACCUGUACUGACGCUCAUGCACGAAAGAGUGGGGAGCAAACAGG